Ictalurus punctatus (channel catfish) is the source of this 583-nucleotide long non-coding RNA. NCBI's taxonomy places the organism in Eukaryota, Metazoa, Chordata, Actinopteri, Siluriformes, Ictaluridae. The record is from Ensembl.
AGUGGUGAUAGUAGUGCUGUUAGUAGUAGUAGUGUUAGUAGUACUAGUGGUGGUGUUAGUAGUAGUAGUAGAGGUAGCAGUAGUAGUGGUGAUAGUAGUAGUAGUAGUAGUAGUAGUAGUAGUGGUGGUGUUAGUAGUAGUAGUAGAGGUAGCAGUAGUGGUGAUAGUAGUAGUAGUAGUAGUAGUGGUGGUGGUGUUAGUAGUAGUAGUAGUAGUAGAGGUAGCAGUAGUGGUGAUAGUAGUAGUAGUAGUAGUAGUAGUAGUAGUAGUAGUAGUGGUGGUGUUAGUAGUAGUAGUAGUAGUAGGGUAGCAGUAGUGGUGAUAGUAGUAGGAGUAGUGGUUGGUGGUAGUAGUAGUAGUAGUGGUGGUGUUAGUAGUAGUAGUAGUAGUAGUAGUAGUAGAGGUAGCAGUAGUGGUGAUAGUAGUAGUAGAGGUAGCCAUAGUGGUGGUAGUGGUGGUAGUAGUAAAGGUGUUAGUAGUCGUGGUAGUAUGAGUCGUAUAAAUACUGAAUCAUUAUUACUAAAUAAAUAAAUAUGAGGAAAAAGCCCUCACGUGGGUCAAGCUCCAAAAAGUUCAUGAAGGC